CCCUUAGAUGUUCUGGGCCGCACGCGCGCUACACUGGUGCGUUCAACAAGUUUACAACCUUGACUGACAAAUCUGGGUAAUCUUUUGAAUGCGCACCGUGCUAGGGAUAGAUUAUUGCAAUUAUUAAUCUUGAACGAGGAAUUCCUAGUAAACGCAAGUCAUCAGCUUGCAUUGAAUACGUCCCUGCCCUUUGUACACACCGCCCGUCGCUCCUACCGAUUGAGUGGUCCGGUGAGGCUUUGGGAUCUGAGCGGAAAGAGCGUUUCGCUGUUUCUGCCCGGAAAACUCAGUCGAACCUUAUCAUUUAGAGGAAGGAGAAGUCGUAACA
This 328-nucleotide ribosomal RNA is filed under the name uncultured eukaryote. RNAcentral's name for it is "partial 18S ribosomal RNA". It matches the Rfam family "Eukaryotic small subunit ribosomal RNA", at positions 1470 to 1796 of the family's 1831-position model. The record is from RNAcentral.